Molecule: long non-coding RNA, 5224 nt
Organism: Gadus chalcogrammus (walleye pollock)
Lineage: Eukaryota; Metazoa; Chordata; Actinopteri; Gadiformes; Gadidae
Exons: 3
Source: RefSeq, a predicted model, not a curated record
GGGGGCAUUUGAGGCUUCUCCAGGAUAGCAUCGGCUUCCUUCUCAUCCUUCCCUCCACAAACACGUCCUCCCAGAUGGUCCUGAACCGGCCCAUCUGGAGGUUGUUGUGGAUUUUGUUGUUUUAUUACAGAUUUGAGUAACGGUAGACCACUCAUUUAAUUGAGGUCAAAUUAUACGAUAUAUAGUCUACCUGCUCAUGGCGGAACUUUAAUAAUAUGGCAAGGACGAAAAAGAACUACCGCCCGAACAGGGACUUGAACCCUGGACCCUCAGAUUAAAAGUCUGAUGCUCUACCGACUGAGCUAUCCGGGCUCUGAAGGGCUCAGAAUACAACAUUCUUUUUGAAAAAUGGAUAUUGCUAGGUCAGCGAUUACUUCCAUAAUCCACUUUAAAAGCUAUUUGAUAUCCUUCGUAUUUCCCAUAACCGUUUAGACGGUGUCGCCUUAAUGGUUUAAUAAUGUUAGAUCGCGUCGGAUCGGUACAAAACAAAGCAUGUUAUGACGCCAACAGCAGCCCUACCCUCCUGCUCAACACCGCCAGCGUGGUUCCAGAGACCGACAAGCAUGCCUUUUUUUGGGUUACUUUAAAUGCAGAAAACAAGAUAUGAAGUCAACGUUAAUUUGAUUACGCUAAGCAGCGGAAACUUAAAGGUAAAACGGAACGCUUGAAUAUAAAUAAACCGUAUAAAUGAUACAACUUUAUAAACGGCUAUGAGUUGGUUUUAUGCUCUGGUAAGAUCGAAAAUCAUCAACCGAAAUUUCACAUUCAUGAUUCGUCUCGGACUCUGCUCGCAGAAGCCUUACGAAGAAUAUCGACUUGGAUGCCGGCGUGUUCGUACCCAGAGCUGUUGGGAUAUAUAUCCUGCGGCCCGGUACCAUCAACUGGCGCUCCCCGUCGCCUGUGGGUCGAGGUCGAAUCUACCAAGAAUUGGCCAAUCAGCGCUCGUAUCAUCUACCAAGAAUUGGCCAAUCAGCGAUCGUAUAUCGCGUGGCCUUUCGAGCGCCGAUCAGCGCUCGUAUUGCUACCAAGAAUUACUUCACUUCAGUAUUUUGAUUUGCGAGUGACAUUAGAAAUUUACGAAAAUCUUCACACCUUUCGUUUGAUUACUUCACUUCACUUCACUUCACUUCUUAUGAACAUUUCCGAGGUAAGCCAGUCCUUUCUAGCUAUUUUCAAUACAAAUAAAUUGGAUAAUAUCCAAUAGUUAACAUAUCCGUCAAAUGCCAAAAGUCUGCUUCGACGAUAGGUCGUCGUUCAUCAUUGUAACGUGUAUGAAUUAUACGUAUAAGGUUAUGUGUAUGUUCAGUAAUGCAUUUGAUUGAAUAGGUAACGUUAGUUGUAUUAGUUUUAUCAUUUCAAAAAAAUCCGUUACCGUUGGAACACGCAAGACCAGUAAACAUAGCUGCGCAGUAAACACAAGUCAGAAGGCCCGUUACUACCAAGCAACAACUAGUACAGUGAAUAAGCAGUAACUUGUUAGGUAUCUAAUAAAUCGCUGUGUAAUCAGUACUUCAUUCAAUGCCUCUUCCGUGGUCAUUACAAUACGGUUUGUUAAGUAUCUAAUUGUAUCAAAAAAAAUCGCUGUGUAAUCAAUACUUCAUUCACUGCCUCUUCCGUCAGUAAUGACGCAGUUUAUAUUUCCGUUACAUGGCCUAUAUAUGUUACAGCUUAUAUAUGUUACAUAGCUUAUAUUAUAUGAUACACAGCUUAUAUAUGUUACACGGCCUAUGGAGAGCUGCCUAGUCUUUAUUCGUAAUAUUGAUCUGUUUCUCUCGUUUACUAUUCUUAAAACACAUUAGCCUAUUAUAUUAAAUUCAUUCAUUAUAUGUAUUGGAUUGAAUAGGUCCAGUGCCGUUAAAAUUAUCAUUUCAUAAAGUCCAUCGCGAUUUAAAGCAGGUUAACAUCCAACUCUACUGCAAAAUAGGCAUGUAAUAUAAAAUCACUAUUCACAGAGCCUAAUACUAGUCUGCUGUCCUGCAACAGGGCCAUAACGAGGUGGUCACCCUAACUAACCCAUAGUGACAAAUAUACAGAGAGCAGAAUAUUAAAGCAACAUUACGAGGUGAUCAUGACUGAAUAUAACCGUUAUUAAUAUAAUAUUCACAGCUGCCUUAAGUAAUGUGUUCAAGUAUUUGUUGUAUUUUCUUUCUUUGUUCUUAAGAUAUUAAGUGGUAGGCUAUAUAACUUUAUACAGUAAUGGAUUAUGUCAUAGGUAUAACACUUUUAUGAACUGAGAAGAUUCAUGUUGAUUGUAGACUGUGUCUCUGUAAUGGGAGAUUUCUUACUUUAUUAUUGAUAUUUCCUCCACUUUCAGAAUACAAAAUGGAUCCUAAAUUUAGGAAGAAGGAUGGCUGUUUACAACACCAAGGUUUCAGCCAUCUAUUCCUGCCCUGCCACGCGCUGGAUCCAUUGAGGCAUCAUCUGCAGUAACAGUAAAAACGGAACCAACUGACAGCGAGCUCAUGCAGGCUGCCGCAGAAGUUGACCCCGACACAUCGUACGGAGCAUCGGCUGCUGGGACGUGAGAAAUACGGCCGCCAUCUUGGAGUGGUCAACCGGGAGCAGCAACAGCAGCAGAAACAGGAUGCCGGGCUGUGGUCCUGCUCAAAUCGGCGGACCAUCCACAAUAGGAAUCGGGGGAUUACUUUUCACAAGUAAGAUUUAACAUAACCGUACUAUUGGUAUAAUUGGUAUUGAAUAAUAAAACACGCCAAACCAUGUGGCCUUUAUCAUAGCUACACGUAUGACAAAAAAACACAUGAAAAUCAGUGGUAUUCAGUGAGGUAUGAUUAAUUAAAUAUAGGGCUGCAACUAACGAUUAUUUGAAUAGUCGAUUAAUCUGUCGAUUAUUUUUUCGAUGAAUCUAUAAAAAAAAUAAACAUUUUUAAUUGCCGCAUCUUUAUUCAAAAACUGAACAUUACUUCAAAUUCACAGUGCAGACUGAAGUGUAAAAACACCAGGUUAUUGCUCCAACGUCCCAGAACUAUUAAAAGUAAUAUUAAAUAAUAAAACAAUUAAAAAAACAUAACUGGGAUAACACAAUAAAAACAUACAAUGUAUGAUAUACUUUUAUAUGUAUGUAAGGGAUGUCCAUGGUUAACCGGUCAAACCUAUUGAUACCAUUUUCGAGACUCCUUGAAAUAGAACUUGUAAUAUUGCUUUAAUUGCUGAUAAGAUGAUGAUAGUUCAAGAUAGGACCUUAAACAGGUCAUAAUUCUAUCUUUACUAUCUAUUUUAUAUUACUGGGAAAACAAGUUUUCACAAAAAUCUCAAUUAUUAUUUAUUUUUUUCUGUUGCAUUUGAACGCAUCAAUCAUAUUACUGAGCUGACCUGAACACAUCACAUUUUACAUUGUUUGUGACCAUUGGUCAGUUUAUUUUUUUAAGCUAACUAGCUCUAUAUCCUGCCAAUUUUAACAUGGAUUUAAAAACUGCAUUACUAUUUUUAACUGACGGGACUUUCUACACCGUCCGGUUAUGUGAUUACUACCGCUGCUUUGAAUGACUGUUGAUGCACGCGGUGCCGACUCCGAGCCCGUCUGCACCACGUCUGCAGCAGCAGCAGCUGACAGUUUUCGGUUGGACUAGACGGAUACUGAGUUGAAGGAGUUUUUUUAACCCAAAGACAGUGAAGGUACAACACUUCUAUGUAGGCCUACAGUCCAGUGUUAAGAUACGACCAAAAUACAAGCUGUAGUCGCUCACACUAAAGCUCGCUGUGGGCGUGCAUGAACCAUGAACCAACCUGUCGGCGGCUGGCUGUAAACAGUGCUGCGCCUACGAGUAACUUAUCGAUCGCGCGACACAACGAAACGACGACCAAAUUCGUUGCCAACGCAUUUAGAAAUCGAUUUUUAUCGAUUCGUUGUUGCAGCCCUAUUUAAAUGCGCUGACCGUUCAUUGCUCCAGCCAAACGGAUUACACUGAGUGGAGCGGAUGACCACUCCAAGAUGGCGGCCCCACGUCUCGUCAGCGCCAGUAGGCGGUAGCAUUCGAUGCUCCGUCUAUCAUAUAAGAUGUCUAUGGUCAGUGCCGCCGCUCCCAUAACGCGCACUACGCGCUGCGCGUAGGGCCUCAAGUCUUGAGGGGGCCCCCCAAAAAAAGAAAUAAUAAUAAUAAUAAAAAAAUAAAAAUUCUUACUUGUAUACUUCUACUUCUGUAUAUAUGGAUAACUAUUUAAUUUAAAAGAUUUUGGACAUUCCAAUACUUGUGUGUACUGUAUGUAUGUUUUGGCUGUUCUGUGAACUGUGUUUACAAAGUAGAUUUAACUUUUGCGUUUUAAUAAAAUGUUAAACUGUCAGAAACCAAUUCUUUUUUUCGGGGGGGGGGGGGGCAUAAAGGAGUUAUGCUUAGGGCCCCAAAAUAGCUAGCAGCGGCACUGUAUGCACUGUAUAUACAGUAGAUAAGAUAAGAAAGCCCUUUAUGAAUCCUAAAUAAAUUCAUGACGACCAAUAAAAACAACAGUGUUACUCCUUAUGUUUUAUUUGACAAAGACAACAGUGUUACCCCUUCUGGUUUUUUUCAUGACGACCAAUAAAAAACAACAGUGUUACCCCUUAUGGUUUUUUUCAUGACGACCAAUAAAAAACAACAGUGUUACCCCUUAUGUUUUUUUUCAUGACGACCAAAGUAAAACAACAGUGUUACCCCCUAUGUUUUAUUUGAUAAAUAUAGACCCUUAUGUUUAUUUCAUGACAGCCGAUAAAAAACGACAGUUACCCCUCAUGUUUUUUCCAUGUUGACCAAAAAAAAACGACAGUGCCACCCCUGUCUAUGAUUUUGCGGGGAUCCAAAAAUGAGCUGUUUAAAGUGUUAACCUCCGACCUUAACAAUGCAGCAACAAGACACCGGACAUCGGCAUCACGAAGGUUAUACUUGACUUUAUAAUUCACAUGAAAUAGAUAUAAGAGUCUUCCAACAGAAGACAUCAACCGGACUUGAACCCCGGUCUCCAGGGGGUUAGGCAGAGUGCACUCCACUGCACCACUGAGGCGAUGACAUUACACAAUAAUCAAUCAUCAAUAAAGAGGAUAUACAUGACAUUAAAAUGUAUGUGUGUAUUUCUAUUAUUUUCCUUAUGUUUUUUUUCAUGACGACCAAUAAAAAACGACAGUGUUACCCCUUAUGUUUUAUUUGACAAAGACAACAGUGUUACCCCUUAUUUUUUGGUUUUUUUCAUGACGACCAAUAAAAACAACAGUGUUACCCCUUAUGUUUUUUUUCAU